GUGGGGAAUUUUGGACAAUGGGCGCAAGCCUGAUCCAGCAAUGCCGCGUGCAGGAAGAAGGCCUUCGGGUUGUAAACUGCUUUUGUACGGAACGAAACGGUCCGGGUUAAUACCCUGGGCUAAUGACGGUACCGUAAGAAUAAGCACCGGCUAACUACGUGCCAGCAGCCGCGGUAAUACGUAGGGUGCAAGCGUUAAUCGGAAUUACUGGGCGUAAAGCGUGCGCAGGCGGUUUUGUAAGACAGGCGUGAAAUCCCCGGGCUCAACCUGGGAAUUUGGAUUGUGACUGGAAGGCUGGAGUGCGGCAGAGGGGGGUGGAAUUCCGCGUGUAGCAGUGAAAUGCGUAGAUAUGCGGAGGAACACCGAUGGCGAAGGCAAUCCCCUGGACCUGUACUGACGCUCAUGCACGAAAGCGUGGGGAGCAAACAGGAUUAGAUACCCUGGUAGUCC
Molecule: ribosomal RNA, 450 nt
Filed under: uncultured bacterium
Lineage: Bacteria
Description: partial 16S ribosomal RNA
Rfam family: Bacterial small subunit ribosomal RNA
Source: RNAcentral